RNAcentral lists this long non-coding RNA (619 nucleotides) under Solanum tuberosum (potato). Its description in RNAcentral is "long non-coding RNA (STUB_LNC009677)". The record is from RNAcentral. Lineage: Eukaryota; Viridiplantae; Streptophyta; Magnoliopsida; Solanales; Solanaceae.
UUGAGAUGGGUGCUCAUCCGUGAGUUGAGGUGGGGUAUCUAGUAGCAAUCUCCCUUUCCCUUAAACUAUGUGCCCACAUAGGUCUAGCUAGUGGAUCCACCAAAGCUAAAAACAAUGGUCCUACCUUAGGCAAGUAGGAAUCCCUUAUCUGGUGAGGGUGACACCGGGAUUCCAUGAAAUUCUCACAUGGUCUAUGUAGGUUAAAGCUUAUCCCCAAAAAGAAUGUUAAUGAACUAUGGCUUCUCAAGAAUGCACUACUUAGUGUGGGUAGUAUGGGAUGCCAUCCAUGCAUUGCACAAGUAGGCUUUUGAGAGGGGUUGUGGUGUGUUCCUUUAUAAUGUUAAGUGUAAUGAAUGUGCUCUUAUGAUGAUUUUAAUGAGAUUGUUGUCUUAAUGUGUAAUGAAUGAAGGUGUUCUUAAUGAAGCUAAAGAAGAUUGUUGAUUUAUGAAUUUAAUGUAAUGAUGCAUGCUAUACUUGGAUUGUAUUAUGAGUUAGUUCCUUGUCAUGACUUAAUGAAUAUGAAUGUGCCUUGUCUACCCUGGAUUCAAAGGACUACUAAGUGUGAGUAGUAGUAUGGGAUGCUACUCAUACAUUGCACAAGUAUGACUUAGAGUUGCCC